AGGCUUUUCAUCAAUCUUUACAGCAGUCACGAUUCCUCUAAUCACUAGGUUUAGUAUACAAAUAUUUGGACCAACACAAAUCAAAAUAGCUAGGAAUCAAAACUUGUAUAACGAUAACACAAGUGUCUUAAUCGCAGCAUUCUCACUUUACACUUGUGUGAGACGAUUAGUAGUUUAUUUUAAUACCCGUGCGACCGGGGCGGGGCCAGA
This 210-nucleotide unclassified non-coding RNA is filed under the name Hevea brasiliensis (rubber tree). The record is from RNAcentral. Lineage: Eukaryota; Viridiplantae; Streptophyta; Magnoliopsida; Malpighiales; Euphorbiaceae.